UACGACUACAUAUCAGGCAUAUCAAUAAGCGGAGGAAAAGAAACUAACUAGGAUUCCCCUAGUAACGGCGAGUGAAGCGGGAAGAGCUCAAAUUUGAAAUCUUCAAGGUUUUACCUUGACGAAUUGUAGUUUAAAGAAGUGUUUUCUGUUGAAGUUUCGGUAAAAGUUCUUUGGAAUAGGACAUCAUAGAGGGUGAGAAUCCCGUAUUUGACGUCAUUCCUCCUAGCGUUGUGAUACACUUUCAACGAGUCGGAUUGUUUGGGAAUGCAGUCCAAAAUGGGUGGUAAAUUUCAUCUAAAGCUAAAUAUUGGCGAGAGACCGAUAGCGAACAAGUACCGUGAGGGAAAGAUGAAAAGAACUUUGAAAAGAGAGUUAAACAGUACGUGAAAUUGUCAAAAGGGAAGCGUUUGACACCAGUGUUGUUUUUCGAAAAUCAAUUCAAUAGUUUUUGAUUCUAAGCAGUAUUGACUUCAUCAGCUUGCUGCUUUCUUCUCAGAAAUUAUUGAAUGCACUUUUCAGUUAACAAGUCAACAUCAAUUUCUUUUGUUGUAAAAGGGUCAUUGGAAGGUGGCUUUCACUUCGGUGAAAGUGUUUAUAGCCUUUGACUUCUGCAAUCGGAGAGAUUGAGGUCUGCAGCGUAGAUCCUUCGGGGUUAGAUACAUUUGUGCUAAGUUAUAGCUUUUCAUAGACAACUUGUUGACUAUGUUUAGUCUUGUAGCUUACUCGCUUAUGCUAUCUUACCUACGCUUAGGAUGUUGAACGCGCACAGAGUCUC
Molecule: ribosomal RNA, 775 nt
Filed under: uncultured Neocallimastigales
Lineage: Eukaryota; Fungi; Neocallimastigomycota; Neocallimastigomycetes; Neocallimastigales
Description: partial large subunit ribosomal RNA
Rfam family: Eukaryotic large subunit ribosomal RNA
Source: RNAcentral